This is a long non-coding RNA of Pseudopodoces humilis (Tibetan ground-tit), 438 nucleotides long. RefSeq lists it as uncharacterized. The record is from RefSeq and is a predicted model, not a curated record. NCBI's taxonomy places the organism in Eukaryota, Metazoa, Chordata, Aves, Passeriformes, Paridae.
CUGGGCAAGGGCCGGGAGGUGUGCUGGCUGCAUACAGCCAGGGGGUGCCGCGCAGUAGGACAAGAGACGGCGGGCAGGAACUGAUGCACUGGAAGUUCACCAUGAGCACGAGGAGGAAUUUCUUUGCUGUGUGGUUACUGUGCGCACUGGAACAGAUUUCUCAGAGACGUUCUGGCGCCUCCCUCAGGGAGAUAUUCCAGAACCAUCUGGACUCAGUCCUGUGCUGUGUGCUGUGAGGUGGCCCUGCGUGAGCAGACUAUUCUCAUGGCAAGUUGUAUUUAUUAGUGGUGCACACCGAUAAUGUGGCAUAGGAAAAUGCAUGCAAAGACACACCAAGCAGAAAAGGAGAAAGUGAAGGUAACUUUCACUACCAGAAGAUAUGUUCAACUUAAAUGCCACUCUCUCUCCAUACCUGCAGCAAAUUUGACUCCAAACCAC